Molecule: microRNA precursor, 183 nt
Filed under: Medicago truncatula (barrel medic)
Lineage: Eukaryota; Viridiplantae; Streptophyta; Magnoliopsida; Fabales; Fabaceae
Description: MIR2670 microRNA precursor family
Rfam family: MIR2670 microRNA precursor family
Source: Rfam by way of RNAcentral
UCGAGGUAAAAUAGUGAGUAGCCGACAUGGGGAAGUGAUCAACCCUUGGGAUAAGUUUAAAUCUGCUUUUUUUUUUACCCCAUAAACUUUUUACCGUGGGUAAAAAGAUUUGUCUAGGGGUAUAAAAAAAACCAGAUUUAAAUUUAGCUUUUCCCAUGAAGGCUGCUCACUAUUUUACCCCAA